This is a long non-coding RNA of Homo sapiens (human), 928 nucleotides long. Lineage: Eukaryota; Metazoa; Chordata; Mammalia; Primates; Hominidae. The record is from Ensembl.
GGAAUCCGUCUCUGCUCUUCUGCAUUCUCCACCUCGGGAGCCCCUGGGGACUCUGUGACGGCCUCUGUUGCCCUGUGAUCUGCAGGUCCGGAGAGACGCACAGCUAAGAUGUCAGGACAUCCUGGAAGCUGGGAAAGGUAGAGACGCGGUUUCACCGUGGUCUUGAUCUCCUGAUCUUGUGAUCCACCCGCCUCGGCCUCCCAAAGUGCUGGGAUUACAAGUGUGAGCCACCGCGCCUGGCUGCAACUAUAAUGUUUUGCUAAGUUCUAUCUCUUCCCAGGGUGAAAGGGGACUGAGGGCUUGGAAGAAAGAAGUUCUGAAAACAGACUCCCUGCCCUCAACCUGCUACCACCAAUGAUUUCCGCCUACUAAUGAACAUACCCACUAGGAAUGGGUGUGGCCAGAAUCUUCACAAAACAAGAAGACUUGAUCUGAGGAAUUACUCUAUAGUGGCUUUACCUCUAAAAUUUCUCACCAAAGAAUUACACAAGUGCCUAGAGGACUCCUGGAUUAUCCCUACCACAAACCCUGAACCUGAAGCAGCAACCUGGUCUCUCUAUCACCCUGGGCUUGUGGACUACCAAUCAUAAUCUCAUCCACCUGCAUGGACACAGGAAUAUGUCAGAACAUAACCCUGCCUGAAUCAGUAUCUGUAGCAUAAACCAGUCUUUCCAGCUACCAUGCACUGUCCCCCACUCACGGGUCCUUGAUAGCACCUUUCCCUCUUCUGUCUUUUGCUUUUCUACAAACCCUUUCUGAUGUGCACAGUGUGCCUCAGGUGCCUGAAUCCAGCACCUACUGGGAGUCAGAUGUCCAUGAGUUCAAGAUUAUAGCCCUAGACCUGGCUGUCAUAAGAACAGACAAAAAUUAGAAAUACAGUCUUCAUCCUUGAAAAUAAAAGAUUUUUCUCUUUCCUUUUCUUAAAGCA